AGGAAAAGUGAAAUGAAGAAGGAAAAAACGUUUAACUUUUUAAAACGUUUAAAAUUGGGGCAACUGUUUUUGCUACAAGAAACUUCCUUUGAAGCGUUUUUUUUUUUUUUUUCCUUUUUUUUUUUUUUU
This 129-nucleotide non-coding RNA is filed under the name Chloropicon laureae. The record is from RNAcentral. Lineage: Eukaryota; Viridiplantae; Chlorophyta; Chloropicophyceae; Chloropicales; Chloropicaceae.